AGAGUUUGAUCAUGGCUCAGAUUGAACGCUGGCGGCAUGCCUUACACAUGCAAGUCGAACGGCAGCGCGGGAGCAAUCCUGGCGGCGAGUGGCGAACGGGUGAGUAAUAUAUCGGAACAUACCCUAGAGUGGGGGAUAACGUAGCGAAAGUUACGCUAAUACCGCAUACGCACUAAGGUGGAAAGUGGGGGAUCUUAGGACCUCAUGUUCAUGGAGUGGCCGAUAUCUGAUUAGCUAGUUGGUAGGGUAAAAGCCUACCAAGGCGACGAUCAGUAGCUGGUCUGAGAGGACGACCAGCCACACUGGAACUGAGACACGGUCCAGACUCCUACGGGAGGCAGCAGUGGGGAAUUUUGGACAAUGGGCGCAAGCCUGAUCCAGCAAUGCCGCGUGAGUGAAGAAGGCCUUCGGGUUGUAAAGCUCUUUUGUCAGGGAAGAAACGGUGUUUCCUAAUACGGAAUGCUAAUGACGGUACCUGAAGAAUAAGCACCGGCUAACUACGUGCCAGCAGCCGCGGUAAUACGUAGGGUGCAAGCGUUAAUCGGAAUUACUGGGCGUAAAGCGUGCGCAGGCGGUUUUAUAAGUCUGAUGUGAAAUCCCCGGGCUCAACCUGGGAACUGCAUUGGAGACUGUAAGGCUAGAGUGUGUCAGAGGGGGGUAGAAUUCCACGUGUAGCAGUGAAAUGCGUAGAUAUGUGGAGGAAUACCGAUGGCGAAGGCAGCCCCCUGGGAUAACACUGACGCUCAUGCACGAAAGCGUGGGGAGCAAACAGGAUUAGAUACCCUGGUAGUCCACGCCCUAAACGAUGUCUACUAGUUGUCGGGUCUUAAUUGACUUGGUAACGCAGCUAACGCGUGAAGUAGACCGCCUGGGGAGUACGGUCGCAAGAUUAAAACUCAAAGGAAUUGACGG
This 912-nucleotide ribosomal RNA is filed under the name uncultured bacterium. RNAcentral describes it as "bacterial SSU rRNA". It matches the Rfam family "Bacterial small subunit ribosomal RNA", at positions 8 to 916 of the family's 1533-position model. The record is from RNAcentral.